UACGUAGGCAGCGAGCGUUGUUCGGAGUUACUGGGCGUAAAGGGUGUGUAGGCGGUUUUCUAAGUUUGGUGUGAAAUCUCCCGGCUCAACCGGGAGGGUGCGCCGAAAACUGGGAGACUAGAGUGCGGGAUGGGAGAGUAGAAUUCCUGGUGUAGCGGUGGAAUGCGCAGAUAUCAGGAGGAACACCAAUAGCGAAGGCAGCUCGCUGGGACGGUACUGACGCUCAUGCACGAAAGCGUGGGGGAGCAAACAGG
This 254-nucleotide ribosomal RNA is filed under the name uncultured bacterium. RNAcentral describes it as "partial 16S ribosomal RNA". It matches the Rfam family "Bacterial small subunit ribosomal RNA", at positions 524 to 776 of the family's 1533-position model. The record is from RNAcentral.